This 72-nucleotide transfer RNA is filed under the name Ktedonobacterales bacterium. RNAcentral describes it as "tRNA-Lys". It matches the Rfam family "tRNA". Rfam says of the family: Transfer RNA (tRNA) molecules are approximately 80 nucleotides in length. The record is from RNAcentral. Lineage: Bacteria; Bacillati; Chloroflexota; Ktedonobacteria; Ktedonobacterales.
GCGCUUGUAGCUCAGUGGUAGAGCAUGCGACUUUUAAUCGCAGGGUCGCGGGUUCGAGCCCCGCCGGGCGCA